Molecule: long non-coding RNA, 3650 nt
Filed under: Malus domestica (apple)
Lineage: Eukaryota; Viridiplantae; Streptophyta; Magnoliopsida; Rosales; Rosaceae
Description: long non-coding RNA (MDOM_LNC018344)
Source: RNAcentral
AUUGGGCCUUUGUGAAUCAUUAUUCAUUAAGUUGUCAUACAACUUAAUUCAAUGGGCUUGACGUUCAUUUGAUGGACUAUAUAGUUGCCUUAGGGCCUUAGGAUGACUAUGAACCUUUGUUUAGAUUCAACACGAGCCUAGUGUUGAAUCUCGGUCUAGGGAUGGUGAUUGAUUUCAGUUACGCGUUCAAUCACAUUAAGGCGUGUUGUCUUAGGGGCGUUGGACCCCAACUAUUCCAAUUUCAUGCAUAUCAAAUAAAACAAGAAAAGGAGUACUUUAAAGUAAAGAAGAGCUUAUGCUCUUUUACAACAAUUGAUCAUAACAAAUUACUUUAAAGUAAAGAAGAGCUUAUGCUCUUUUACAACAUUUGAUCAAAUCAAAUUACAACCAAAAUCUAAUCUACACAUUCCCAUGGUUCAAACAAAUUUGAGACGGCCUUUCACAUAGCUCAAUUAUCGUAGGCUUAGGUUCAUAAUCACCCUUUAAUUAAUUAACGCUUUAACUAAUUAAACUUGAAUGCAACAUUUUCAUUUGGUUUUUGUAUCCAUAGAAUUGAUUUAAAUGGAGCUAAAUGAAAUGAAAAUCCAAUUCUCAGUUAAGGAGACAAAACCAUUUUGUUCUCAACCUAAUUUGGGCCAAAAUGUAAUAACCUCAACUUUUUGGGCUAUGUUGCAAAACUUAAACUUUUGAGCUCAUUUUGUAAAAACACAAAAGUCCACUACUUCAUGUAAUUACAACUAGAACCCAAAAAUUCAACAAAUUGAAAAAACAUCAUUAAAGGAACAAAACAAUUUGUCCUUUAAUGAUUUUGGGCCUUUACGUAAAUACGUAAACUUUUGGGUCAAACUACAAAUUACACAAAAGUACCAAAACUUUAUUUAAUUGCAGAAAAGCCCCAAAAGCACCCCACUUGUAGGGUGGCCGGUUUUAGAGAGAGUGAGGAAUGCAAACUUUUGAAAUUUUUCAACAAAGUCAUAAAGCCAUGCAAGUGGUGUGUGUGACAUAAAUUCAUGCAAGUGGUGUGUGUGUAAGAGAAGUACUUCUUACACACCCAUCACCAUUUCUAUCACCUUUCAAAAUUUCAAUCACAUUAAAACAUUUGAUAAAGCACAAAACAAAGACUUUAUGAAAUAAAUCAAAACUUUGAAUCGAAACACCAAACUUUUUGUUCUUGGCUAAAAUGUCAAGAACAAUGAAGAACAUUCAUGAAAAACCCAUAAAAGCUUCAUCAACAUUUUUCAUCCAAAGAUAUCCCAAAACCAUUCAAACUUAAGGGAAAUAACAUAUAACCAAACUAGGGUACAUAGGGGUUCCAAAAGUUACUUGAAAACACGUUUAACAAGUCAAACAAGAACCCAAAAAUCCACCCUUUGGAUUUGGCCGAAAAUUCCCAAAAACAUGGCACCAAAUUUUAGCUCCAAUAUUCAUGCUCAUAUGAACUACAUCUACAACAUUUGAGAUGGCAAAUUUUCAAACAAAAUUUACAUUCAAAGAAGCAAGAAUAAAGUUUGUAACAUAUUACAACAUUUGAAUCAAAGACUAUGAACUACAAAACCCAAAAGGAUUCAUCAACUACUUGACCUAGGCUCUGAUACCAAUUGAAAGAAAUUUUGUGAAAAACAUGUUCAUUUAAGCAACAUCUAUAGCAUGCAAUUAACAAUUAAAAGGCGGAAUCAUGCUUGUAUGCACUUAAAAACAAAACAUUAACCAUGAAAUUCAAAGCCUAGUAGAUUGGUGAACCUUGACUCAACUUAAAACAACAUUUGCUAGUUGAGAAAUGACACCUUUGUAGAUUCCUCUUUGUAUAAGCAAAGGCUAAUCACCCAAAGAGAGGGCCUUCAUUCCUUGGAUCUUAGAUCUAUGGAUUUGGAUGGAUGAAAUGGUUCUCCAAGUUCCCAAAAUUGAGAACCUCUAAGUCUCUUCACAAAGGUUAGAUUGGAGAAGAAAUGAGUGACCUUGGAGUAGUAGGAUUGCUAGCUAAACUCUCCAAGGAGGCCGGCCACUUUAGAGAGAAAGGAGAGCUUAUGUUCUCAUCCUUUCCCCAAAAGAAAACCCUAAAUGAAUUUUGGCUAUAAAGUCAUAUUUAUACCUUAAUUCAUUGGAGUGGCAAACUUGUAAAUAAGUCCAAAACUCACUCCAUCUCUAAAUGGCUGGCCUUAGGGUAUUAUUGGGCUAAUUGGGCCUUUGUGAAUAAUUAUUCAUUAAGUUGUCAUACAACUUAAUUCAAUGGGCUUGACGUUCGAAGCCCAUUGGGCCUUAAGGUCCAAAACUAUCCCGAGGUCUUUAACGAACUUAUUCGUUUGAUUAAUUAACAUAUUAAUUAAUCCUUGCCAUAAAUAAUUAAACCAUUUAAUUAUUCUUACUCAUCUCCAUUGUUUCUUCAAUCUCCACCUUACACGGUGUACGAUCCAUUAGGUUCCUUUUAGCGAGGCAGUGGGCGAUUAAAACCAUUUCAAAUCGAUUGUGAAUUGAAAGGUACUUUCAAUUCUCCCUUUAGUGAUUACACACGUUUAGGGCUUCCACAAACCAUGAGUGACGCCUAGCAGCAUAUCAUGGUUACCCAAGCUAAUCAGAAGAGGUGGAGAACCUAUUCAGUUUAGGAUUACAAAUGCAAUACGGUCUUUCUCUAAUACAUUACUCUUGACCACAUUGUUUCGUUUGAUAGUUUAUUCAUGUCUACUAUCCAAUGUGAUUCGUGUGCUUAUAUGAUUACCUUGAAUGUGAUUUGGAACGACUUCCUAAAUCUCAUUCAUACUCUGGCUAGAGAUUCUUAAUCAUAUCAUAGAGUAUUCUCCCCCAAACGGUUUGAAGGUUAGGGAUCCCUUGUUGCGCAUUCACUUGCCUCUAUGGCUAAGUGGCUUAACCCCGACGAUGCCGUGGACACCUGCGGAUGGGGUGACUUUGACAUAAUCAAAGAUCAAGUACCUAACCACAAGACAACUAUGAUGCCUCAGGUCAAAGGACUACUUUGCAUUAUCCCAACCCUAAGUUCUCAUGUGACAUGAGUAUGAGAACUCCUCGUUGAUCAUGUUCAGUGGACUCAUUCGUUAUUGAGCACCUACAUGCUUGUCUUGGUGUCAAUCACACCAAUGACUCGAGACUAGUCACUCUCCCUAAGAGAAGACAUAACAUGUACUAAUCUUAACGGACUGUCAAUGCCCAAUUGGCAAUCCUAUGAUCAGGAACGUUUAGGAUAUGUAUACGAAAGAAUGGUCUCAUGAAUCUAACUUCUUUAGAUCGCAUUCUCCCAAUCACAUAUUCCUUGGACUUAUCGUUUAAGCGUGUAACAUUUAUAUGAGACUGCUCAAACAAUAAUCUUUGCCCUUGAUAUUAAACUAGAUUAGUUUAACAUGUGAAAUGUGCGUAAAGUAUCAUCAUAUGAUUGGUUUUAGGGCACAUUUCCAACAAUCUCCCACUUGCACUAAAGCCAAUCAGCUGUUGGAAAUGUGCCCUAAAACCAAUCAUAUGAUGAUACUUUACGGACAUUUCAAAUGUUAAACUAAUCUAGUUUAACAUAUAAAGGGCAAAGAUUAUUGUUUGAGCCGUCUCAUAUAAAUGUUAUAUGCUUAAACGAUAAAAUCCAAGGAAUAUGUGAUUGGGAGAAUGCAAUCUAAUGAAGUUAGAUUAAUGAGACCAUUCUUUCGUAGACA